Molecule: ribosomal RNA, 2839 nt
Filed under: freshwater metagenome
Description: bacterial LSU rRNA
Rfam family: Bacterial large subunit ribosomal RNA (bases 1-2334)
Source: RNAcentral
AGGACGUGAUAGCCUGCGAAAAGCUUCGGGGAGCUGGCAAAUGAGCUUUGAUCCGGAGAUAUCCGAAUGGGGAAACCCACCGAAAGGUAUCGCACACUGAAUACAUAGGUGUGCGAGGCGAACCGGGACAACUGAAACAUCUAAGUAGCCCCAGGAAGAGAAAGAGACAUCGACUCCCUCAGUAGCGGCGAGCGAACGGGGAUCAGCCCAAACCAUCAGGCUUGCUUGAUGGGGUUGUGGGACCUCUGAGAGUUACAAAAGGCAGGUUAGCAGAACCAUCUGGAAGGGUGGGCCAUAGCGGGUGAUAGCCCCUUAUGCGAAAACCGAGCCUCUCGUUGAGGAGGAAUCCCGAGUAGGGCCAGUCACGUGGAACCUGGCUCGAAUCAGGGCGGACCACCGCCCAAGGCUAAGUAUCUUCCAGCGACCGAUAGCGUAAGAGUAGCGCGAGCGAAUAUUGAAAAGUACCCCUGUCAGGGGAGUGAAAUAGUACCUGAAACCGCAUGCCUACAAGCAGUUGGAGCCCUAUGUUUACAUGGGUGACAGCGUGCCUUUUGCAUAAUGAUCCGGCGACUUAAUGUAUACAGCGUCAGGUUAAGGCCUUAUGGGCCGAAGCCGUAGGGAAACCGAGUGCGAAACGCGCGACAUAGUUGUAUGCAUUAGACCCGAAUGCAGAUGAUCUAACCAUGGCCAGGGUGAAGCGAAUGUAAAAAUUCGUGGAGGCCCGAACUUGUGUGGGUUGAAAACCGCUGAGAUGAGCUGUGGUUAGGGGUAAAAGGUCAGUCAAAUCUGCGGAUAGCUGGUUCUCUCCGAAAUAGCUUUCGGGCUAGCCUUGGAGUAUAACCGUCGCGGGGGUAGAGCUACUGUAGAGGAUAGGGGGGCUUCCCGUCUACCCUACCUCAACAAACUCCGAAUACCGUUGACGCUGCUCCGGGAGUCAGUCUUUGGGGGAUAAGCUCCAUAGACAAAAGGGAAACAACCCAGAUCGCCGGCUAAGGCCCCAGAUUCAUGCUAAGUGCCAAAGGAAGUGGGAUUGCACUGACAGCUGGGAUGUUGGCUUAGAAGCAGCCACCAUUUAAAAAGUGCGUAAUAGCUUACCAGUCGAGCCGUCCUGCGCCGAUAAUUACCGGGACUAAGCAUGAAGCCGAAGCCGCGGACUUACAGAUCAUGUGAUCUGUAAUUGGUAGGAGAGCGUAGCACAUUAGGUUGAAGCGGAACCGACGAGGAUCCGUCGACGACGUGCUAGUGAUUAUGCCGGAAUGAGUAGCGAUAAAACGGGUGAGAAGCCCGUUCGUCGUAAAUCUAAGGUUUCCUGGGCAAGGUAAUUCCUCCCAGGGUCAGUCGGUCCCUAAGGCGAGACCGAAAGGUGUAGUCGAUGGGUAACAGGUUAAUAUUCCUGUACCGGUUGUAAACGAUCAAGACUCAGAGGGGGGACGGAGGAGGCUAAGCAGGCCGGCGGAAGCCGGUGAAAGCGCGUAGGUAGAGGAGCCAGGUAAAUCCGGUUUCUCGUUUAACUGAAACGCGAGACGAGCCCUAGUUGGCGAAGCUGUUAUGCCCGACUCUAUAUAAAAUCCUCGCUGAGAGUUUGCAACCGACCGUACCGCAAACCGACACAGGUAGGUGGGAUGAGUAUUCUAAGACGCUCGGAAGAACUGCUGUUAAGGAACUCGGCAAAUUGACCCCGUAACUUCGGGAUAAGGGGAGCCCUCCUUGUGAGGGCCGCAGAGAAUUGGCUCAUACGACUGUUUAUCAAAAGCACAGGUCUGUGCAAAGUCAAAACGACGACGUAUACAGACUGACGCCUGCCCAAUGCUGGAAGGUUAAAGGGAGGGGUUAGCCGCAAGGCGAAGCUCCGAACCCAAGCCCCAGUGAAUGGCGGCCGUAACUAUGACGGUCCUAAGGUAGCGAAAUUCCUUGUCGGGUAAGUUCCGACCCGCACGAAUGGUGUAACGAGAUGAGCACUGUCUCAACAGCAGAUCCGGCGAAAUUGCAAUCGCGGUGAAGAUACCGCGUUCCCGCAGUAGGACGAAAAGACCCCGUGAACCUUUACUGUAGUAUAGUACUGGGCCCUAACUUUGCAUGUGUAGGAUAGGUGGGACGCUUUGAAGCCGAAGCGCUAGCUUUGGUGGAGCGGUCGGUGAAAUACCACUCUUGCACCGUUGGGGUUCUAACCUGGUGCCGUUCUAUCGUGACUGGGAAGGUGGUGUUGGGAGGUGCGGAUCCGUUUGGACGUUCGGUUGUGACGUUGAGUGGCGGGGUUGUGGAGGUUGCGAGAGGAGUGACGGAUUUGAAGGUGAACAACCCGAUUCAGUUGAGUGGAGAGAACACGGUGACGAUGGGAGGGGAGACGAAGCUGACGUUGGGAGGACAGUUGUCCGGCGGAGGCGCGGUGGUGAAGGAGGGCGAAGGGAAACUGACGCUCACAAAUGGGACGAACAGCUAUAGUGGGGGCACAUUGGUGCGUGGCGGGGUGUUGGAAGUGACGAAUGGGGCGAGUGUUGGGAGUGGUCAGUUGGUGUUGGAUGGGGGUGCGCGCUUUGAGGUGAACCAGACGUUGAGUUUGGGCGUGCCGGUGGUGGUGAAGAGUGGGGAGGUGUAUGUGGGUGGUACGUUGGAGAAGAAGGAGGUGUUGACGUUGGAGAAGCCAGUGACGCAGGGAGUGUCGGAUGUGUUUGUGAAGACGGGGAUUGGGACGUUGGAAUUGAAGUCCUCGGAGAGUGCGUUGCGAGGGGUGACGAAGAUUGAGCAAGGGACGUUGGUGACGACGCAGGCGGCGGUGUUGGGGUCGAGUCGUGAGAUUGUGGUAGGGACGAGUGGGAGCGAAGGUGCGAAGUUGGAUGUG